AAAAAGAACCUGAAACCGUGUACGUACAAGCAGUGGGAGCACGCUUAGGCGUGUGACUGCGUACCUUUUGUAUAAUGGGUCAGCGACUUAUAUUCUGUAGCAAGGUUAACCGAAUAGGGGAGCCGAAGGGAAACCGAGUCUUAACUGGGCGUUAAGUUGCAGGGUAUAGACCCGAAACCCGGUGAUCUAGCCAUGGGCAGGUUGAAGGUUGGGUAACACUAACUGGAGGACCGAACCGACUAAUGUUGAAAAAUUAGCGGAUGACUUGUGGCUGGGGGUGAAAGGCCAAUCAAACCGGGAGAUAGCUGGUUCUCCCCGAAAGCUAUUUAGGUAGCGCCUCGUGAAUUCAUCUCCGGGGGUAGAGCACUGUUUCGGCAAGGGGGUCAUCCCGACUUACCAACCCGAUGCAAACUGCGAAUACCGGAGAAUGUUAUCACGGGAGACACACGGCGGGUGCUAACGUCCGUCGUGAAGAGGGAAACAACCCAGACCGCCAGCUAAGGUCCCAAAGUCAUGGUUAAGUGGGAAACGAUGUGGGAAGGCCCAGACAGCCAGGAUGUUGGCUUAGAAGCAGCCAUCAUUUAAAGAAAGCGUAAUAGCUCACUGGUCGAGUCGGCCUGCGCGGAAGAUGUAACGGGGCUAAACCAUGCACCGAAGCUGCGGCAGCGACGCUUAUGCGUUGUUGGGUA
This 689-nucleotide ribosomal RNA is filed under the name Escherichia coli. Its description in RNAcentral is "partial 23S ribosomal RNA". It matches the Rfam family "Bacterial large subunit ribosomal RNA", at positions 541 to 1230 of the family's 2925-position model. The record is from RNAcentral. Lineage: Bacteria; Pseudomonadati; Pseudomonadota; Gammaproteobacteria; Enterobacterales; Enterobacteriaceae.